AUGAAGAACGUAGCGAAAUGCGAUACUUGGUGUGAAUUGCAGAAUCCCGUGAACCAUCGAGUCUUUGAACGCAAGUUGCGCCCGAGGCCAUUAGGCCGAGGGCACGCCUGCAUGGGCGUCACGC
Molecule: ribosomal RNA, 124 nt
Filed under: Plagiobothrys collinus var. californicus
Lineage: Eukaryota; Viridiplantae; Streptophyta; Magnoliopsida; Boraginales; Boraginaceae
Also listed under: 1 other name
Description: 5.8S ribosomal RNA
Rfam family: 5.8S ribosomal RNA
About the family: 5.8S ribosomal RNA (5.8S rRNA) is a component of the large subunit of the eukaryotic ribosome.
Source: RNAcentral